Molecule: long non-coding RNA, 1181 nt
Filed under: Heterocephalus glaber (naked mole-rat)
Lineage: Eukaryota; Metazoa; Chordata; Mammalia; Rodentia; Bathyergidae
Description: lncRNA (ENSHGLG00000040207.1)
Source: RNAcentral
AGGACACAGGGCUGGGUGGAGGCGAUCCUGAUUCACUCUACUGUUUCGACAAAGGAAAGUCGCCCGGAGGGCUUGCAUCUGAAUCCCACAAACGCGCCAUGCUUUAUAUCAAAUUAAUCAAAAAGAUUAACUCGUCUUUGUUGACCCCACACCUGGGAAAUUGUGGUGGGAGCUGGCUUAUUGGAGCAGCGCUGUCCAUUUACAGACGGUUCACAGGCAAGGCUUUGGAGGUUGAAAACUACUUUGGAAGACAGUGGCUGACCUUCCUGCACACAUGAUGGAUGACUGGGGCACCUGCAGAGAGGAAUUGAAGUUGAUUGGGAACCUUUUCUCAGAGCAUUGGAGCGGAUUCUCAACUACCUAGGAGGCUCCAGACAGCAGAGGCAUCUACCUAUCUUAUCUAUUGACGUCAAGUGUUCUUGAAGGCACAUUUGUUGGUGGCACAAGAAAUUCAGCAGAAAUGAGCCUUGGUAAAGAAUAAUGUCCCUAAGAACUUGCUCCUCCAAUAACCAUGGCAGAAAGCACCUGGGAAGUUUCUUACAAUGCAGUCCUCAGCUCCUGCCUGCCUAGAAGUCCUGCUCCAGUGCUGCCUAGAGUCCAUGUUUUAACAGAAACAGUGUUAGUUUCCUGGGCACUUUGGGUGGGAAUGAGCUCUGAGCUGGAGAAUGUUCAGGCUCUCUGCAUACAGAUCUACCUAGGGAAUUUUUCAUAGCCCUGGGUCCAGACCACACCCCAGAUGCACGGAUCCAGAAUGCCUGGAGGAGCAGGGAGGCUGGCUGCAGUAUAGUUCCCCAGGAUACCAGGGCCUAGGAACUCUUCUAGGCUUACCUGCCAGGUUUGGCUCCCCCGACCCUACAUCUCCAUCUCCCUGCAUACCUGCUAAUCAUGAUCUUUACCUGGUUUCCGUCUCUGCUGUGCAUCGAGAAGCUUUCACCUGCCUUCUACACUCUGUGUCCUCACCCUCUGCUCUGCAGCUUCCCCUUGCUCUCCUGCUCGUCCUCUGUGGCUUUCAGCAGGGCUGUAUCUCAGUAUCCUGGCCAGUGGCUGGGCUAUCAUCUCCUCCUGUCUGGAUCCUACCCUCCUCAGUGUGCUGUGGACUGCCUUUCAACACAUGCUGGCAGCAGGCAUCUCCAGAGUUGACACUUUACCAUCCCUGUCACUUCUUCCAUCCUUCCUCUGAC